Ailuropoda melanoleuca (giant panda) is the source of this 73-nucleotide non-coding RNA. NCBI's taxonomy places the organism in Eukaryota, Metazoa, Chordata, Mammalia, Carnivora, Ursidae. The record is from Rfam.
GCCUCGCUGGUUCAGUCAGUAGAGCACGUGACUCUUCAUCUCGGGGUUGUGAGUUCGAGCCCCAUGUUGGGCA